This 259-nucleotide ribosomal RNA is filed under the name uncultured bacterium. RNAcentral describes it as "partial 16S ribosomal RNA". It matches the Rfam family "Bacterial small subunit ribosomal RNA", at positions 103 to 354 of the family's 1533-position model. The record is from RNAcentral.
CGGGUGAGUAACACGUGAGUGACCUGCCUUUUAGACUGGAACAACUUACCGAAAGGUGAGCUAAUGCCGGAUGAGUUAUAUAAGUGCAUGUUUAUAUAGGAAAAGUUGGGGAGACCUGACGCUGAAAGAUGGACUCGCGUCCCAUUAGCUAGUUGGUAGGGGUAAUGGCCUACCAAGGCGACGAUGGGUAGCCGGCCUGAGAGGGUGGCCGGCCACACUGGGACUGAGACACGGCCCAGACUCCUACGGGAGGCAGCAG